RNAcentral lists this ribosomal RNA (254 nucleotides) under uncultured bacterium. RNAcentral's name for it is "partial 16S ribosomal RNA". It matches the Rfam family "Bacterial small subunit ribosomal RNA", at positions 524 to 776 of the family's 1533-position model. The record is from RNAcentral.
UACGUAGGGUGCGAGCGUUGUCCGGAAUUAUUGGGCGUAAAGAGCUCGUAGGCGGUCUGUCGCGUCAAUCGUGAAAACUUGGGGCUUAACCCUGAGCUUGCGGUCGAUACGGGCAUGACUGGAGUUCGGCAGGGGAGACUGGAAUUCCUGGUGUAGCGGUGAAAUGCGCAGAUAUCAGGAGGAACACCGGUGGCGAAGGCGGGUCUCUGGGCCGAUACUGACGCUGAGGAGCGAAAGCGUGGGGAGCGAACAGG